GUGUCAGCAGCCGCGGUAAUACGUAGGGUGCAGGCGUUAAUCGGAAUUACUGGGCGUAAAGCGUGCGCAGGCGGCUUCCUAAGUCAGAUGUGAAAUCCCCGGGCUUAACCUGGGAACUGCGUUUGAAACUGGGGGGCUAGAGUGCGGCAGAGGGGGGUGGAAUUCCACGUGUAGCAGUGAAAUGCGUAGAUAUGUGGAGGAACACCGAUGGCGAAGGCAGCCCCCUGGGCCAGCACUGACGCUCAUGCACGAAAGCGUGGGGAGCAAACAGGAUUAGAUACCCUGGUAGUCCACGCCCUAAACUAUGUCGACUAGUUGUUGGGGGAGUCUGUCCCUCAGUAACGUAGCUAACGCGUGAAGUCGACCGCCUGGGGAGUACGGUCGCAAGAUUAAA
This 394-nucleotide ribosomal RNA is filed under the name uncultured bacterium. RNAcentral describes it as "bacterial SSU rRNA". It matches the Rfam family "Bacterial small subunit ribosomal RNA", at positions 505 to 898 of the family's 1533-position model. The record is from RNAcentral.